GAGAAUCUUAUAGCCACCGUCCGAGAAGUUGUAAACCGCCUCGAACGCUAGUGCCUGGUUUCUUAGGCCCUGGAUGCUUUUCUUAAAGGGAUGAAACAAAUGUGAGGAAUGAGGGACAUGCUGGGAAUAAGCCGAAGACACUCUGGUUCUUGCUUACUGGAUGAGCAUCUUCUGUGAGGACCCAGGGGCAGCCAAGAGAAGAUGACAUCCCCUCUAUCCAACUUCCAGAGCAAGCUUGCACUGCUGUGUGCCAUUUCCUGUUAUUUAUCACCCGGCUGUGGGCACACUCUGGACUAGAAGAUGCCAUGAUGAUGCUUCCUUCUCUGUCAGGUCAAAGUUGUCUGUCUUUGGUAAUACAAAGCUCUGGAAUUUCUGUUGCUCAGGUUCUGACAGAGUCUCUCUCUCCCCCCAGCGCAGUCCCACCCUGUUUCCCUGCACCUUAGUUGCAUGUACUCUGUGCUCUGCUGGCCAUCAAAGCCUCUCUUCCAUUUGGUGAAAAUGUCUGCAGACGUCUGUUAAUUGCUAAAAAAAACCCUCUGUGAUAAUCCAGUAAAAAAAGAAAAGAAAAAGGACCAUCAGCUUCCUUUUUUCUCCCAGCAUUGUAAGUUCAAAACCUUCAUGUUGGACUGAAACCUUCUUUGUAGUUUGUUACCUAGUUUGAUGUUACAUGGUAGUCUUGUGAUUCAAAUAUCUCUUCUGAGCAACAGGAAAUGGGCCUGAAGGAGAAAUCACAUGCCCUUCCCCUUCUGGUAAUGUGUGGCCAUCCCAAAGAAAUAAACAAUGUAAACAGGUCUCUUGCUAUGGAUUUUUACAGAGCUCUAGCAAAAAUGAAAGUAAAUAAAAUGGGGAUCUGGAGACUACCAUAAAGCAGGCAUGGAUAACCUCCGACCCACAGGGCUCAUAAUUUGCCCUGCAGAGGCAUUUCCUCUGCCAUACACCUGACAUCCUACACUGUUGAGAGUGGGGCAGUUAAAGACAUGACUGCAAAGGAGCAUUGGGGAGCCCUGAAGUGCACUUCUGAGUGUUCUUUGGCAGGGCUGAUAGCGAGCUCCACUGGGAUCUGCUGCACUCAGGAGUUCCUGUUCAGUAAUCCAGCUGAUCCCUGCCAAAAGCAGGGCUUGAAGCUGGUGCCACUCAGCUGAUCAGCGCUGACUGCAAGCCCUACUUUGGGGCAGGGAUCUUCCUUUGUAGCAAACCCCUAGUUGCCCCUUUGAAGAGCUGCAUUACAUGCUUCAGCCAGUGGUAGAGGCCAGAGUGAAUUAUGUGGGUCACCCUAACCUAGAAUCUCACUGUGUUCCAUUGAGUCUGCACACAUUUAUGUCUCUACAAAUGGGAAAUGCUGCAGAGUCAAUCAAGCAAGAACAUGAGUAUGUUUGGCCCAGAUUCUAACACCUUGUGUGAAACCAGUGUUGACCAUCCAUGAAAUAAGUUUCACCUGAGUUUGCUGUCCUAUUACCUUGUUUACAGAUAAUCCUGUGAGCUGCUGAAUUUCUGAAUAGAUCACAUUUGGAGGAACGAGCUUAAGGACAUUGGUGUGUUGCUAGCCAGGGAUUCAUUACAAAGACAUGUAUUGUGGAUGCAAGGUCCUACAGUACUUUCAGCCAAUAGAUGAGGAAAAAACAGUGAUUGCAGGGCUGACAAAUGAAUCCUUCCUCAAAUGUGACCCCCCCCCCCAAUUUAAUGCCUUCUAUUGGUUUCUGCAAACACUGGUGUAACAUCACAAAAGUGUACUGUUGGCAUAUGUUUAACUCUGAUAAAAUACUGCCUUUUGAAUGUU
This is a non-coding RNA of Podarcis muralis (Common wall lizard), 1777 nucleotides long. Lineage: Eukaryota; Metazoa; Chordata; Lepidosauria; Squamata; Lacertidae. The record is from RefSeq and is a predicted model, not a curated record.